This 97-nucleotide ribosomal RNA is filed under the name uncultured archaeon. RNAcentral describes it as "partial 16S ribosomal RNA". It matches the Rfam family "Archaeal small subunit ribosomal RNA", at positions 474 to 570 of the family's 1478-position model. The record is from RNAcentral.
UACCGGUGGCUCGAGUGGUGGCCACUUUUAUUGGGCUUAAAGCGUUCGUAGCUUGAAUAAUAAGUCUCUUGGGAAAUCUGCAGGCUUAACCUGCAGG